Dendroctonus ponderosae (mountain pine beetle) is the source of this 279-nucleotide long non-coding RNA. RefSeq lists it as uncharacterized. The transcript has 3 exons. The record is from RefSeq and is a predicted model, not a curated record. Lineage: Eukaryota; Metazoa; Arthropoda; Insecta; Coleoptera; Curculionidae.
AUCGACUCGAAUAGAUUUGCGUUUUAAUACUGAAGGGUUUUUCGAUUUAAGAUCUUUAUCCCUAAUCAUGUUGCACUGCUCCACUUACUCCAUAAUCCUGUUCGCUCAAGCAUCUCCAUCCAUCAUAAUCCCGGUGAUUAUCUUAAAUCAAUAGUAAUUUGGCACGAAGACCUGCAAAAUAAGACCGACCAGACAAAAACAAAACCAAGAACCGAAUGGAUAUUUAUUUUGAGGCCGACUGAAUUUUACAGUGGCGCACCUGGUGAACGAGUAUUCAGU